Molecule: transfer RNA, 74 nt
Filed under: Planctomycetes bacterium ADurb.Bin412
Lineage: Bacteria; Pseudomonadati; Planctomycetota
Description: tRNA-Thr
Rfam family: tRNA
About the family: Transfer RNA (tRNA) molecules are approximately 80 nucleotides in length. Their secondary structure includes four short double-helical elements and three loops (D, anti-codon, and T loops). Further hydrogen bonds mediate the characteristic L-shaped molecular structure. tRNAs have two regions of fundamental functional importance: the anti-codon, which is responsible for specific mRNA codon recognition, and the 3' end, to which the tRNAs corresponding amino acid is attached (by aminoacyl-tRNA synthetases). tRNAs cope with the degeneracy of the genetic code in two manners: having more than one tRNA (with a specific anti-codon) for a particular amino acid; and 'wobble' base-pairing, i.e. permitting non-standard base-pairing at the 3rd anti-codon position.
Source: RNAcentral
AGCCAGCGUAGCUCAGUGGUAGAGCUCCCGCCUUGUAAGCGGGGGGUCGUCGGUCCGAAUCCGACCGCUGGCUU